GACGAACCGUGCGAACGUUAUUCGGAAUCACUGGGCUUAAAGCGCGUGUAGGCGGGAGGGCACGUCCGUUGCUGAAAUCCCCCGGCUCAACCGGGGAACGGGCGCGGAUACGACUCUCCUUGAGGGGCGUAGGGGGACCUGGAACUUCCGGUGGAGCGGUGAAAUGCGUUGAGAUCGGAAGGAACGCCCGUGGCGAAAGCGAGGUCCUGGACGCCUACUGACGCUGAGACGCGAAAGCCAGGGGAGCGAAUGGG
RNAcentral lists this ribosomal RNA (254 nucleotides) under uncultured bacterium. RNAcentral describes it as "partial 16S ribosomal RNA". It matches the Rfam family "Bacterial small subunit ribosomal RNA", at positions 524 to 776 of the family's 1533-position model. The record is from RNAcentral.